GACGAACGCUGGCGGCGUGCCUAAUACAUGCAAGUAGAACGCACAGUUUAUACCGUAGCUUGCUACACCAUAGACUGUGAGUUGCGAACGGGUGAGUAACGCGUAGGUAACCUGCCUGGUAGCGGGGGAUAACUAUUGGAGACGAUAGCUAAUACCGCAUAAUAUUAAUUAUUGCAUGAUAAUUAAUUGAAAGGUGCAAUUGCACCACUACCAGAUGGACCUGCGUUGUAUUAGCUAGUAGGUGAGGUAACGGCUCACCUAGGCGACGAUACAUAGCCGACCUGAGAGGGUGAUCGGCCACACUGGGACUGAGACACGGCCCAGACUCCUACGGGAGGCAGCAGUAGGGAAUCUUCGGCAAUGGACGAAAGUCUGACCGAGCAACGCCGCGUGAGUGAAGAAGGUUUUCGGAUCGUAAAGCUCUGUUGUAAGAGAAGAACGGGUGUGAGAGUGGAAAGUUCACACUGUGACGGUAUCUUACCAGAAAGGGACGGCUAACUACGUG
RNAcentral lists this ribosomal RNA (505 nucleotides) under uncultured bacterium. RNAcentral's name for it is "partial 16S ribosomal RNA". It matches the Rfam family "Bacterial small subunit ribosomal RNA", at positions 28 to 507 of the family's 1533-position model. The record is from RNAcentral.